AGGCUUAACACAUGCAAGUCGAGGGGCAGCGCGGGGCGGCAACGUCCUGGCGGCGACCGGCGGAAGGGUGCGUAACGCGUGAGCGACAUGCCCGUUGCCCGGGGACAACCGGUGGAAACGCCGACUAAUCCCCGAUGGGACGGAGGCCCUCAUGGGUCUCUGUUGAAAGUUACGGCGGCGACGGAUUGGCUCGCGUCCGAUUAGCUAGUUGGCGGGGUAACGGCCCACCAAACCGACGAUGGAUAGGGGUUCUGAGAGGAAGGUCCCCACAUUGGGACUGAGAUACGGCCCAGACUCC
Molecule: ribosomal RNA, 298 nt
Filed under: uncultured bacterium
Lineage: Bacteria
Description: partial 16S ribosomal RNA
Rfam family: Bacterial small subunit ribosomal RNA
Source: RNAcentral